RNAcentral lists this ribosomal RNA (16 nucleotides) under Saccharomyces cerevisiae (brewer's yeast). Its description in RNAcentral is "partial 18S ribosomal RNA". Lineage: Eukaryota; Fungi; Ascomycota; Saccharomycetes; Saccharomycetales; Saccharomycetaceae. The record is from RNAcentral. RNAcentral also lists the same sequence under 4 other names.
CUCGGAAGGAUCAUUA